RNAcentral lists this ribosomal RNA (433 nucleotides) under uncultured bacterium. Its description in RNAcentral is "partial 16S ribosomal RNA". It matches the Rfam family "Bacterial small subunit ribosomal RNA", at positions 29 to 507 of the family's 1533-position model. The record is from RNAcentral.
AGCGAACGCUGGCGGCAGGCCUAACACAUGCAAGUCGAACGAACUCUUCGGAGUUAGUGGCGGACGGGUGAGUAACACGUGGGAACGUGCCUUUAGGUUCGGAAUAACUCAGGGAAACUUGUGCUAAUACCGAAUGUGCCCUUCGGGGGAAAGAUUUAUCGCCUUUAGAGCGGCCCGCGUCUGAUUAGCUAGUUGGUGAGGUAAAGGCUCACCAAGGCCACGAUCAGUAGCUGGUCUGAGAGGAUGAUCAGCCACAUUGGGACUGAGACACGGCCCAAACUCCUACGGGAAGCAGCAGUGGGGAAUCUUGCGCAAUGGGCGAAAGCCUGACGCAGCCAUGCCGCGUGAAUGAUGAAGGUCUUAGGAUUGUAAAAUUCUUUCACCGGGGACGAUAAUGACGGUACCCGGAGAAGAAGCCCCGGCUAACUUCGUG